RNAcentral lists this ribosomal RNA (529 nucleotides) under Bifidobacterium longum subsp. infantis. Its description in RNAcentral is "bacterial SSU rRNA". It matches the Rfam family "Bacterial small subunit ribosomal RNA", at positions 157 to 701 of the family's 1533-position model. RNAcentral also lists the same sequence under 1 other name. The record is from RNAcentral. Lineage: Bacteria; Bacillati; Actinomycetota; Actinomycetes; Bifidobacteriales; Bifidobacteriaceae.
CGGGUGGUAAUGCCGGAUGCUCCAGUUGAUCGCAUGGUCUUCUGGGAAAGCUUUCGCGGUAUGGGAUGGGGUCGCGUCCUAUCAGCUUGACGGCGGGGUAACGGCCCACCGUGGCUUCGACGGGUAGCCGGCCUGAGAGGGCGACCGGCCACAUUGGGACUGAGAUACGGCCCAGACUCCUACGGGAGGCAGCAGUGGGGAAUAUUGCACAAUGGGCGCAAGCCUGAUGCAGCGACGCCGCGUGAGGGAUGGAGGCCUUCGGGUUGUAAACCUCUUUUAUCGGGGAGCAAGCGAGAGUGAGUUUACCCGUUGAAUAAGCACCGGCUAACUACGUGCCAGCAGCCGCGGUAAUACGUAGGGUGCAAGCGUUAUCCGGAAUUAUUGGGCGUAAAGGGCUCGUAGGCGGUUCGUCGCGUCCGGUGUGAAAGUCCAUCGCUUAACGGUGGAUCCGCGCCGGGUACGGGCGGGCUUGAGUGCGGUAGGGGAGACUGGAAUUCCCGGUGUAACGGUGGAAUGUGUAGAUAUCGGA